UGGGGAAUAUUGCACAAUGGGCGCAAGCCUGAUGCAGCCAUGCCGCGUGUAUGAAGAAGGCCUUCGGGUUGUAAAGUACUUUCAGCGGGGAGGAAGGGAGUGAGGUUAAUAACCUUAUUCAU
RNAcentral lists this ribosomal RNA (122 nucleotides) under uncultured bacterium. Its description in RNAcentral is "partial 16S ribosomal RNA". It matches the Rfam family "Bacterial small subunit ribosomal RNA", at positions 355 to 475 of the family's 1533-position model. The record is from RNAcentral.